AAUCAACGCUGGCGGCGUGCCUAACACAUGCAAGUCGAACGAGAAAGGGGAGCAAUCCCUGAGUACAGUGGCGACCGGGUGAGUAACACGUGACUACCUACCCUUGAGUGGGGAUAACCUCGGGAAACCGAGGCUAAUACCGCAUAAUAUCGCAAGAUCAAAGGAGCAAUCCGCUCUUGGAGGGGGUCGCGGCUGAUUAGCUAGUUGGUAGGGUAAUGGCCUACCAAGGCGAAGANCGGUAUCCGGCCUGAGAGGGCGCACGGACACACUGGAACUGAAACACGGUCCAGACUCCUACGGGAGGCAGCAGGU
RNAcentral lists this ribosomal RNA (312 nucleotides) under uncultured bacterium. Its description in RNAcentral is "bacterial SSU rRNA". It matches the Rfam family "Bacterial small subunit ribosomal RNA", at positions 32 to 355 of the family's 1533-position model. The record is from RNAcentral.